RNAcentral lists this ribosomal RNA (412 nucleotides) under uncultured bacterium. Its description in RNAcentral is "bacterial SSU rRNA". It matches the Rfam family "Bacterial small subunit ribosomal RNA", at positions 355 to 775 of the family's 1533-position model. The record is from RNAcentral.
UCGAGGAUCUUCGGCAAUGGGCGCAAGCCUGACCGAGCGACGCCGCGUGUGCGAUGAAGGCCUUCGGGUUGUAAAGCACUGUCGAGGGGGAGAAAAGCCGCAAGGCCUGAUCGACCCCUGGAGGAAGCACGGGCUAAGUUCGUGCCAGCAGCCGCGGUAAGACGAACCGUGCGAACGUUGUUCGGAAUCACUGGGCUUAAAGGGCGCGUAGGCGGGCCGGCGAGUCGGAGGUGAAAUCCCACAGCUUAACUGUGGAAGUGCCCCCGAUACUGCCGGCCUUGAGGGGGAUAGGGGCGUGCGGAACUUCCGGUGGAGCGGUGAAAUGCGUAGAUAUCGGAAGGAACACCGGUAGCGAAAGCGGCGCGCUGGAUCCCUUCUGACGCUGAGGCGCGAAAGCCAGGGGAGCAAACGG